GACGAACGCUGGCGGCGUGCUUAACACAUGCAAGUCGAACGGAAAGGCCCUGCUUUUGUGGGGUGCUCGAGUGGCGAACGGGUGAGUAACACGUGAGUAACCUGCCCUUGACUUUGGGAUAACUUCAGGAAACUGGGGCUAAUACCGGAUAGGAGCUCCUGCUGCAUGGUGGGGGUUGGAAAGUUUCGGCGGUUGGGGAUGGACUCGCGGCUUAUCAGCUUGUUGGUGGGGUAGUGGCUUACCAAGGCUUUGACGGGUAGCCGGCCUGAGAGGGUGACCGGCCACAUGGGGACUGAGAUACGGCCCAGACCCCUACGGGGGGCAGCGGGGGGGAAUAUUGCAAAAGGGGCGGAAGCCGGAUGCAGAAACGCCGGGUGCGGGAUGAGGGCCUUGGGGUUGUAAACCGCUUUCGCCUGUGACGAAGCGUGGGUGACGGUAAUGGGUAAAGAAGCACCGGCUAACUACGG
This 467-nucleotide ribosomal RNA is filed under the name uncultured bacterium. RNAcentral's name for it is "partial 16S ribosomal RNA". It matches the Rfam family "Bacterial small subunit ribosomal RNA", at positions 28 to 506 of the family's 1533-position model. The record is from RNAcentral.